RNAcentral lists this ribosomal RNA (492 nucleotides) under uncultured bacterium. RNAcentral's name for it is "partial 16S ribosomal RNA". It matches the Rfam family "Bacterial small subunit ribosomal RNA", at positions 29 to 507 of the family's 1533-position model. The record is from RNAcentral.
AGUGAACGCUGGCGGUAGGCCUAACACAUGCAAGUCGAACGGCAGCACAGUAAGAGCUUGCUCUUACGGGUGGCGAGUGGCGGACGGGUGAGGAAUACAUCGGAAUCUACUUUUUCGUGGGGGAUAACGUAGGGAAACUUACGCUAAUACCGCAUACGACCUACGGGUGAAAGCAGGGGAUCUUCGGACCUUGCGCGAUUGAAUGAGCCGAUGUCGGAUUAGCUAGUUGGCGGGGUAAAGGCCCACCAAGGCGACGAUCCGUAGCUGGUCUGAGAGGAUGAUCAGCCACACGGGAACGGAGACACGGUCCAGACUCCUACGGGAGGCAGCAGUGGGGAAUAUUAGACAAUGGGCGCAAGCCUGAUCCAGCCAUACCGCGUGGGUGAAGAAGGCCUUCGGGUUGUAAAGCCCUUUUGUUGGGAAAGAAAAGCAGCAGGUUAAUACCCCGCUGUUCUGACGGUACCCAAAGAAUAAGCACCGGCUAACUUCGUG